Anopheles stephensi (Asian malaria mosquito) is the source of this 3453-nucleotide long non-coding RNA. RefSeq lists it as uncharacterized. Lineage: Eukaryota; Metazoa; Arthropoda; Insecta; Diptera; Culicidae. The record is from RefSeq and is a predicted model, not a curated record. The transcript is spliced from 2 exons.
CGAGUAUACACUCAACACUACCGAACUACCUCCAUUAGAUUUUCCCUUCACGUCGCCGUUACCAGUGACCUAACACUAAGUUGGUGCCAUAAAAUGAAAGUGUUGUUUUUCUCGGUCAUUGUACUGACUGCAUGUGGAUGUAUCGCAUGCGUACCGCUCGUUGCUGAACCGGACGAGAAGUGUGAGUGGAGGUACACGUGCUGCGUACUAGACGACCGGGACGGAUCAUGUAGAACGCCCUGCCCUAAGCCUUCCAUCGUUUGUCCGACGGAAGAAACAAAAGACCGAGAUCCGGGAAGGUUAAACACGCUCAAAGUAAUCGUCUCCGUCCCGUGCAAGGAAGGCUACCGAAAGGAUCAUACCGACCGGUGUCGAAAGAUUUUUGAAGAACCUGUCUACUACUGAGACGAAACUGUGCGUGUGGUUCGCGGGAACAAAAUCAUCACUCAACAGUGCCACACUCGGCCAAGAUUUGGAACUAAUGGCCCAGCCAAUAUCACUUCAAACGUUACUUCUGUUUACGUACAAAUCUCCUCCGUAAACACGCGCCCGUCUGCAUACUGAGCUGUACUCGAACGCUUAAAGGCUUACCGUACGGCCUAGUGUCGCGGAACAUUCUCCGUGCGACAGUGUACUAAAGAGCAGCAGCAACAUUGCGUGCCCAGUAGCGACGGCUGGCAAGCACGCAUCACAUCGUGUUUCAGCAACACUGUAUCGUGUUGCUUUCAUGGGAGAGCAUCGGAAAACUUAUUUGCAAUAAAAUACCAACGACUCACAUUAUCCGGGAAAGCAUCAGAGCAUACGGAAUUCGCCCAUCGAGAGAAGCACUGAAAGCGAGGAGCAUCUUGGUGUUACUUGGAAACAACCGCAAUAUCCCACCGCAAUGCCCGGGUGCUGGCCUGUCACCUCACCGCCGCACACGGAACCGUACGUUGACCAAAUCAGACGGAACCCUCCACCGAUUUCCUGCACAGCCAGCUGGUGGUUUGUAACUAUUUAGUUACACAAUAAUAGUUAAUACGCUCCGUAAUCUUAUUGGUUUUGGCAGGUUAAAGCUUCCUUCGUCAGUUUUUCCACCAACACCGGGAAUCGCUACCGGGAACUGAUUUGUAUUUAAUCCGUAGCCUUAAUUAGAUUUGCCCCCCCUCGAUCAGCUCGGCUCACCGUCGACAGGGCCGGCUGGACGUGUGGGCACGUGCAGCCGACGGUUGUGUUAUUCCUUCCCGAUAGGCUAUUCGAUCCGCUACCGGCGUUGGUCCCGCCGGUCGCCACUGCACUUUUGCUCCUCCAUGUGAGUGCUCCUCGCUGCCUGCCGGGCAAUGACAUGCGAAGAAAUCACAUACACAACAAUCCCAACACAGCUUCCCCCUUUUUUACCGGCAAUAAGAUCCGCUACGACGCUUCGCUGCAAAUGGUCCGGAAUUUCCUUUUUCCUUCGUCAACCGAUGGGUGCGCGCCCGGUCAGGCACGCCCGAACUGUGGAGAAGCGAAAUAAGCAGCAAAAAUGGUGCAGUAGUGCGGGAAGCAGGUACUGCGGACGAAGGCACAAUACAAAUAGAAAAAUAAUAAUGUCCGAUUCCGGAUAUUUAUCACGUGCCAUUGCCGGUGAUGUGUAAAUUCCCGUGUAUUCCGGAUUCCUUCCGUUACGGGACAGACGAUUUUUCAUCUUCAGCCGAAAAACAUCGGCCACGCCACUAUCCUCCUGCCCAGCCUAGCGCCAAAGAUCCUGCCAUAACUCCAUUUCGGAUCCCUUCGCGCUGUCAGAAAGCAAAUAAAUUUUACAAUUCCGUUCCAUAUCCGAUGGCGCGCACACACACACACACACACACUCGACACGGUGGCUUCAUUUCUGGUGUUCGGGUUAGACGGUGAAGAAGGAUGCUUACCGCUUCGGGGCUAUGGUGGAAUUGUUUUAGUUCAGUGAUUUUCCUCCCCGUCCCUGCCCCGUCCGAAGAGGGCGAUUCUUCAUCUUUUCUUCAAGGCCGCAAAAUCGAAAGGACCGGCAUAGCUAAGGAUAGCCGUUUUUCUUUGUUGUUCCACACGGUCACUGACCAGACGAUACCUUCGUUCGGGAUGAUGAUGACGAUGCCGUUGGACGCCAUGAUGGCGAUAGAAUUUAUCGCAGCUGAGCUGAAGAAAAUAUAGCAACACACACACACUCACACACGGUCAAAUGGCUCACUAUGCUGAGCAGCAAAUCCAACCUGUUCCGAGUAUUCGAUCGCUGCUGUUCUGCCAAUUCUCACUCAGAGUUGCCCGGUACGGGAAGAAUUGAUAUCCUUUUGAUUUGCCGUGUCGUUCUCGGUCGGCUACGGCUGUUUCCCAUACCGGUGCAAUCAAACAACGGAGGAAAGAGCAAAAUUGAAUUCCCUCCACCUCGCCCCCCCCCCCCUCCCCCCAGAAUAUCUGGUGGACCGAAAACCGUUCACCGUCAAUAGGCGAUAUGUUAUGACGGCCAAUGUAAACCCUUUAAGCCGAAUGGGAGACCCUGUUCGAUUUGACACGAUAGCGCCGAUAUCCCCUGCGAGAUGCCAAUUCGGAGUGAGGUGAACGGAAAGCAGACAGAAUCCGAAAAGGAAAACAACGUGUCAAGCCGGAAAAACCCAAUAGAAAACAACCGAAAUCUGAUAAUCCUUUUCAAAUUAUCCUACGUAUUGUCGAGCGCGAACGAGAUACGGGCGGGCAGGGAGACGGGCGAGAGGGCGGCACAAAAGGCACCAAAUCAAAAUGAUGUCUUCGUCGAUGAUUGCUAGACACUUUGUGGAGGCCAUAUUCGUAGAAGUUAAAGUGAGGGGUUAAGUACAUGGGUGUUAUAUCAUCACAAUUUUUCCAUUUUUUUUUUGCUUCAUGUUUUUUUAUUGUUUUUUUUUUUCGCCCCCUCCCCUGCAGAUUUCUGGAGGUGAGUGAAGGAUGUGAAGCUAGGUUUACAGUUUAUUACAGCUUGAGGGUUGAGGUAUUACACAUAAACUCAUCAGAUUGAUACUCGGGCGAGGGAUGCAUACGCCUCGGGGAAUACAGCACGUGUAAGGAAAGGUACGGACGUAAGCAGGAGCUCCAGAUAACAUGGCGUAUGCAACAGAAACGAGAAUUAUUUUGAAAGUUGUUUAAUGUUUCGAGAAUUUUCCAUAAGCCCUUCAGGGUAUGCAUUGAGAGAUAUGUAAAGAAAUUGCUAUUGACGUAUAAAAUGUGAUCAAACUAUUGCGUGGAUAUUCAAGGCAACAAGACAUCCCUUUACGUUGACAUCCCUGAGAAAUAAACAGAUAAACGUAGCGAAAGGCAAGUAAGAGCUUUAAAAGGGACCCCGUUUGAACUUUAACACAUUCAACAACUUUACUGAGAUCUUCACUUUGUAUAAAUGAAUCUACAUAAGAUUUGAAGUUACAGGACAACUUAAUAAUUCCAAUAGAACGAAAUAAAUAAGUGUAAAUUCAUCAACAAACUGAAUAUCUAAAA